UACGGAAGGCAGCAGUGGGGAAUAUUGCACAAUGGGCGAAAGCCUGAUGCAGCUAUGCCGCGUGUAUGAAGAAGGCCUUAGGGUUGUAAAGUACUUUCAUCGGGGAGGAAAAAACAAAACUAAUAAUUUUAUUUCUUGACGUUACCCGAAAAAGAAGCACCGGCUAACUCCGUGCCAGCAGCCGCGGUAAUACGGAGGGUGCUAGCGUUAAUCAGAAUUACUGGGCGUAAAGAGCACGUAGGUGGUUUUUUUAAAGUCAGAUGUGAAAUCCCUGGGCUUAACCUAGGAACUGCAUUUUGAAACUGAAAUACUAGAGUAUCGUAGAGGGAGGUAGAAUUCUAGAUGUAGCGGUGAAAUGCGUAGAUAUCUGGAGGAAUACCUGUGGCGAAAGCGGCCUCCUAAACGAAUACUGACACUGAGGUGCGAAAGCGUGGGGAGCAAACAGGGAUUAGAUACC
Molecule: ribosomal RNA, 457 nt
Filed under: uncultured bacterium
Lineage: Bacteria
Description: bacterial SSU rRNA
Rfam family: Bacterial small subunit ribosomal RNA
Source: RNAcentral